UACGUAGGGCGCAAGCGUUAUCCGGAAUUAUUGGGCGUAAAGAGCUCGUAGGCGGUCUGUCGCGUCUGCCGUGAAAGUCCGGGGCUCAACUCCGGAUCUGCGGUGGGUACGGGCAGACUAGAGUGAUGUAGGGGAGACUGGAAUUCCUGGUGUAGCGGUGAAAUGCGCAGAUAUCAGGAGGAACACCGAUGGCGAAGGCAGGUCUCUGGGCAUUAACUGACGCUGAGGAGCGAAAGCAUGGGGAGCGAACAGG
Molecule: ribosomal RNA, 253 nt
Filed under: uncultured bacterium
Lineage: Bacteria
Description: partial 16S ribosomal RNA
Rfam family: Bacterial small subunit ribosomal RNA
Source: RNAcentral